UCUGUGCAGAUUCAGAGAGUUCAGGGCCAGAAGGGCCAUUAGAUCAUCUAGUCUGGCCUCCUGUAUAUCACAGGCCAUUACAUUUCACCCGGUUAUCCCUGCAUUGAACUCAGUAACUUGUGUUUGGCUAAAUCAUAUCUUCUAGAAAGGUAUCCAGUCUUGAUCUGAAGAUAACAAGAGAUGGAGACAGUGCCACUUUCCUUGGAGACUGGAAAGCACUUCCUCAUCAGCAUCAUGGAGAAACAGCUGCCUUCCUUCCUGUCUGGGAGAAAUCCUAUCUACCCGUCUCCAAUGAAGUUAAGCAAGGUGUGAUCAAUAACAGGGGAAGCCUCAUUUUAUACAACUCAGCAGAGUGAUGGGAAGUCCACAGGAAGAGAAGAACAGCAUGAGGUCAUCCUGAGCCUUGGAACAAAACAGUAAGUUUGGGAAGAUAUAUGGAAAGAGAAGUCAUCUUGGCAUCUAUUACUGGACAGACACAAGGAGCCAGAGCUUUUGCAAGCUGAGAAAGAUAGUCCUUCAACCAUGGGGUGUCUCCGGGAAUGGAAGAGUGGUAAGGACCUUGAACAAAGAUUGUAGCUUAUUAAGUUAGGUCUCAGCCAUUAGAAUGUGUAUUUUUACUUUUCUUUGUAACCCUUUCUAACUUCAUUCCUUCUACUUGGUAUCACUUAACCC
Molecule: long non-coding RNA, 672 nt
Organism: Malaclemys terrapin pileata
Lineage: Eukaryota; Metazoa; Chordata; Testudines; Emydidae
Exons: 3
Source: RefSeq, a predicted model, not a curated record